GCAAGAGGAUUGCUUGAACCCAGGAGUUUGAGGCUGGAGUGAGCCAUGAGCAUGCCACUGCACUCCAGCCUGGGCAACAGAGCAAGACCUAAGGGUCCCACCACAGGAGAGUCAUUCAGUCAGCUAGAGUAUAGCCAUCUGCACAACAGAAUAGUAGGUAGCCAUUUUAAAAGGUUUUACAAAUAAUUUAUUUCAAUGUGUCAAGGUAGGUAUGAUACAAUGCUAUGUGAAAAAACACCAAAAUACAACUUGAUUACAUGUGAUUACAACUCUAGUCUCAAAAAGCCAACCCAUGCAUAGAGUAAGAGACUCGAAGGAAAUUCAGCAAUAUGCUAACAGUGGUUGUUUUGGGGGCUGGAAAAUGUUUUCUUGCUUUUUUUUUUUUUUGUAUUUUCUAAACUUUCAAAAGGUUCAUAUACUUCUUUCAUGAUAGGAAAAAAUCAUUCUCUGAAUCACAUCAAGCAGCCUGGUGAAGGCCAGGGAGACCCAUGUGGGCAGAGCCAGGAGUGGCCACUGUCCUGUGCCGAGCUUCGUCACCCAGUGCAGCUGCGUGAAGCUGUUUGCCAGCAAGAAAAUGAGGACUUCAGUACUGUAACCACAAGGAACUGAGUUCUGCCUGCAACCCAAGUGAGCACAAAGCAGGAUGUCUCCCAGAGCCCCCAGGAAUGAAGCUCCACUUGCUGAUACCUGAAUUUUACUCUGGCCUGUUCCUACAUCUAACAGGAGCGAGUCGGACUUGCCGAUGAUUUCUGGAGCCCUGCCUGCCUCUGAGAUUUCAGGCUACCUCAGUUUCCCCACCUCCUAGUCUAACGGGCAUUCAUCAGGCACAGGACAGAGCCCUGAGGAGACAGCAGCCCCCAGGAGGCUGGUUCCUGAUCUGCUGCCUGCUGCCUGCUGCCUGGGAGGCCCCAUCAGAAAACUGGGGCUGGCAGCAUGUUAGACUCUCCUGCGCCUGCCUCUGCCUGUUUUCACGAGGCACCCUGCAGGCUUGGCCAGGACUGCUGAGGAGUGGGGACGUCUGGGGAGGCGAGCUCAGCCGAACUGCCGUGCAGGCUGGGGCCUGGUGCUGCUGGAGUCAGCCUUCAUCAGGGUCCCUGGCUCUGGCCUCCUCUUCUCUAGGGCAAAAUCCCAACGCUGUAAUGGCCAGGAUCUGCCCCUCCCCACAUCCUGCUCUUGAUGGGAAACAUGCCCAUCAUUGGGUGUCCCAACCAGGCAGCACCCCUUUCAUUCUCUUUGUCUUUCCAUGCACUAUUUGACUUGCCUGGGGUGCAUCUCCCUCGCCCCCUACAAAAUUCCCCUCCCCUGGAAAGCUCCCUGGUGACUCCCUGACUCUCCCCUCUGGAUGGACAAGGUUAGAUGCUUCUCCCAAGCUCCCAUACAUGCCCUCUCGUCUUCCCCUACAUGUAUCCACCUC
Molecule: long non-coding RNA, 1414 nt
Filed under: Homo sapiens (human)
Lineage: Eukaryota; Metazoa; Chordata; Mammalia; Primates; Hominidae
Description: HSALNT0038931
Source: RNAcentral